AGGACGAACGCUGGCGGCGUGCCUAAUACAUGCAAGUCGAACGAACUCUGGUAUUGAUUGGUGCUUGCAUCAUGAUUUACAUUUGAGUGAGUGGCGAACUGGUGAGUAACACGUGGGAAACCUGCCCAGAAGCGGGGGAUAACACCUGGAAACAGAUGCUAAUACCGCAUAACAACUUGGACCGCAUGGUCCGAGUUUGAAAGAUGGCUUCGGCUAUCACUUUUGGAUGGUCCCGCGGCGUAUUAGCUAGAUGGUGGGGUAACGGCUCACCAUGGCAAUGAUACGUAGCCGACCUGAGAGGGUAAUCGGCCACAUUGGGACUGAGACACGGCCCAAACUCCUACGGGAGGCAGCAGUAGGGAAUCUUCCACAAUGGACGAAAGUCUGAUGGAGCAACGCCGCGUGAGUGAAGAAGGGUUUCGGCUCGUAAAACUCUGUUGUUAAAGAAGAACAUAUCUGAGAGUAACUGUUCAGGUAUUGACGGUAUUUAACCAGAAAGCCACGGCUAACUACGUGCCAGCAGCCGCGGUAAUACGUAGGUGGCAAGCGUUGUCCGGAUUUAUUGGGCGUAAAGCGAGCGCAGGCGGUUUUUUAAGUCUGAUGUGAAAGCCUUCGGCUCAACCGAAGAAGUGCAUCGGAAACUGGGAAACUUGAGUGCAGAAGAGGACAGUGGAACUCCAUGUGUAGCGGUGAAAUGCGUAGAUAUAUGGAAGAACACCAGUGGCGAAGGCGGCUGUCUGGUCUGUAACUGACGCUGAGGCUCGAAAGUAUGGGUAGCAAACAGGAUUAGAUACCCUGGUAGUCCAUACCGUAAACGAUGAAUGCUAAGUGUUGGAGGGUUUCCGCCCUUCAGUGCUGCAGCUAACGCAUUAAGCAUUCCGCCUGGGGAGUACGGCCGCAAGGCUGAAACUCAAAGGAAUUGACGGGGGCCCGCACAAGCGGUGGAGCAUGUGGUUUAAUUCGAAGCUACGCGAAGAACCUUACCAGGUCUUGACAUACUAUGCAAAUCUAAGAGAUUAGACGUUCCCUUCGGGGACAUGGAUACAGGUGGUGCAUGGUUGUCGUCAGCUCGUGUCGUGAGAUGUUGGGUUAAGUCCCGCAACGAGCGCAACCCUUAUUAUCAGUUGCCAGCAUUAAGUUGGGCACUCUGGUGAGACUGCCGGUGACAAACCGGAGGAAGGUGGGGAUGACGUCAAAUCAUCAUGCCCCUUAUGACCUGGGCUACACACGUGCUACAAUGGAUGGUACAACGAGUUGCGAACUCGCGAGAGUAAGCUAAUCUCUUAAAGCCAUUCUCAGUUCGGAUUGUAGGCUGCAACUCGCCUACAUGAAGUCGGAAUCGCUAGUAAUCGCGGAUCAGCAUGCCGCGGUGAAUACGUUCCCGGGCCUUGUACACACCGCCCGUCACACCAUGAGAGUUUGUAACACCCAAAGUCGGUGGGGUAACCUUUUAGGAACCAGCCGCCUAAGGUGGGACAGAUGAUUAGGGUGAA
This 1493-nucleotide ribosomal RNA is filed under the name uncultured organism. RNAcentral's name for it is "SSU rRNA". It matches the Rfam family "Bacterial small subunit ribosomal RNA". The record is from RNAcentral.